CCUACGGGAGGCAGCAGUGGGGAAUAUUGGGCAAUGGGCGCAAGCCUGACCCAGCAACGCCGCGUGAAGGAAGAAGGCCCUCGGGUUGGAAAAUUCUUUUAUUCGGGACGAAACAAAUGACGGUACCGAAUGAAUAAGCCACGGCUAACUACGUGCCAGCAGCCGCGGUAAUACGUCGGUGGCAAGCGUUAUCCGGAUUUACUGGGUGUAAAGGGCGAGUAGGCGGGAUAGCAAGUCAGACGUGAAAUUACAGGGCUCAACCCUGGAACUGGGUUUGAAACUGUUCUUCUUGAGUGAAGGAGAGGCAGGCGGAAUUCCGUGUGUAGCGGUGAAAUGCGUAGAUAUACGGAGGAACACCAGUGGCGAAGGCGGCCUGCUAGACAUUAACUGACGCUGAGGCGCGAAAGCGUGGGGAGCAAACAGGAUUAGAUACCCUUGUAGUC
Molecule: ribosomal RNA, 443 nt
Filed under: uncultured bacterium
Lineage: Bacteria
Description: partial 16S ribosomal RNA
Rfam family: Bacterial small subunit ribosomal RNA
Source: RNAcentral